GGUCGCGUGGGAGGGCGUGGCCCAGCGUCCAGUGCCCGCGACGCCGGACAGUCCUGUAGACUACUGGGGCGGAGAGAGACGAAGCGGCCAGCAGAUGGCCACGCCACUCUGAGCCCCGGUAAGGAAACGUAAGUGUGGGGAAGUUACGACGGUCCCUUGCCUAGGUGCUUGGCCCUGGCCUGUCCUCGCCACACCUCCUGCCUACCACUGCCACGCCCCAACCGAUCCGUCACUUUGAUCGCCGCCGGUGGCUGCUGACGGAUGUCAAGGAGACUUCCAGCCUUUCCACGCCACGCUCGGAAUCAGGCUCCGAAAGCCAUGCGCGCCUGUAGGGGAGGUGGACGCGCCUCGCCGACUCCCGGAGGGUGCAGUCGUGCUCAGGGGGAGGGGACAUCCCUCUGGAAGCUGGCGUUUGUGGUGCUCCCGAGACGGGCGAGUGGAGAAGGCGGCUUUCCUGGCAACCUUCCCAGGCUGGGUGCUCAGAUUCAGCUCUCUGCACGUUUGCCUCGAGGUAGUCACGAAGGAAUCGAAGAGAGCCCCAGUGCUCGAGGAUUUUCCCUGUGAGCCUCUUCAGGCCAGUACAUGAUUCAUUCUUUCGCAGAACAACUUCGGAACUCGGUUUGCGCUAGGCAUAAACUCUAGUCUUGUCCCCAUGGAAUGCACCAUCAAGCAGCCAAGGUAGACGUGUAAAUAAACUUCGACACAGUGUGAUGACUGCAACAAAAGGAAGCAUUGUGAGGUUAAAUGUAAAAAUGUAACUUUAACGGCGGGGCGGGGGGAGGGGAGCGGGAGGAUGCGUGAAAGGCUUCCCGAGGUAAACGCUGCGAAAACGAGUUUGAAAGACCAAGUGAAAUUGCUCCAGAGCAUUUCCCGCAAAGAACGGAAGUGGUCCCUGACCUGAGUGGCGAAAUUGAAGAUAAACUGAACAGCUUUAUGUGAUUGACACAAGACGCGGAAGAGAUCUGGUCCUUAUGAAGAAUUCUGUGCUCGCUGUAAAGAUUUGUAGGAAUAAUGAAAUGCUUUCUUCAUUGAUGAGAUGAAGUCUCUGUUUUACAGGUAAGUUGACUGAACAAAACAAUGAAAAACGAACUUCUUUAGAAGGCUGAAUGAAAGUAAUAUCUAGCUGAAAAAGUCAUUGGCCAAAGAGAACUUUUAAAAAAACCAUUCUAUGUUUAACCCUAAAAAAACAAAAAACAAACAAACCAGAAAAAUAUUUUUAAAAAAAUGUACAUACAUUUUCACUGACAGUUAUAAGAAAAUAGCCAUUUAUAGAAGUUAAAAUGCUUUCAACAAAUUACCCCAAAAUUUUGGGAGACAAGAUAAAGCCAUCGGGUAAAUAAAUAUACAUACUAGCCAAUAUAAAACAAUUUCUAGUUUCAAAUUGUUAUCAAUUCUUUUAAGACCCAAGGAGAAAUUUGGUGAUAUAAAUCUGAUUAGGGCUACAUAUAUUACAUGUAAUUAAAAAACACAACUGAUUAAAACAUCCUAACAAUAAUACAAAUAUUUAAAAGAAUGUCUUAAAAGUCAGACACUUAUCACUGGAUAUACCACAAUUAUGUACUUCAGAGUUGUAAUGUGUAUAUAGGUCACUUUUGCUGUGUCUUAUCGGUAUCCAGCUCUCCUGCAUUUACUACAGUCAGUUUUUAAGAGUUCAUGUUUCCUGCGUGAUCUGAAGGGGCUGGGCACAUCUCAGUUCAUAAAAUAUACACCUCCGCUUAACUAAAUGGAAGUGUCUAAGAUAACAUCUACAGAGAAAGAAGGGGUAGUGAGAAGAUAAAUAUUAAAGUGGAAGAAAACUGGAUAGUUGUCUCUAUAAAUUUUAAAUUUUGUAUUAAAUUUAAAAUGACAAGUCAAUUAAUGAAGAAAAAUAAAUUGGUCUCAAGAAAUUUUCUCAGGCCAUACAAAAUUUCCCUUAGUUUACUUCUUUAUAGAAUUUUGUUAUGCUUGGUUCAUUUGUCAGUUGACUUUAGGGAAGUCUCCUUAGCAUGGGACUGAAAAUGGCUUUACAACUAAAUGAAAGAUGAUUAAAAGUUGGUGUUUAUUUAAAGUGCCCACAGGCACAAUGGUAAGGUGUUUACAUUUCCCUUUAAGUUAUGGGAAAGCCCUUUGAGACUGUAUUUACUUAAUCAGAAAAGCUUUCAGCAAUUCCAAUGCAUGCUGAAAGUUUAGAUCUUGUAUAGGUUUUGGGUUUUGCUGUUUGAGCAUAAAAAGGGAGCAAGGAGAAGUGUAACUAGGUUCACAAUUUUGAGCAAGAGCAUAUGUAAAGGUAACGUAUGUACAUUUUAUUUCAAGAAAGACAGAAGACAAACAGCAUAAAGAUGCCCAGAUGCCCUAAAGAUAAAUACAUUUCGAAGAUU
Rhinolophus ferrumequinum (greater horseshoe bat) is the source of this 2357-nucleotide long non-coding RNA. RefSeq lists it as uncharacterized. The record is from RefSeq and is a predicted model, not a curated record. The transcript has 2 exons. Lineage: Eukaryota; Metazoa; Chordata; Mammalia; Chiroptera; Rhinolophidae.